RNAcentral lists this non-coding RNA (148 nucleotides) under Gorilla gorilla gorilla (western lowland gorilla). Lineage: Eukaryota; Metazoa; Chordata; Mammalia; Primates; Hominidae. The record is from Rfam by way of RNAcentral.
GCUGGGCAUGGUGGUGCAUGCCUGUAAUCCCAGCUACUUGGGAGGCUGAGGCAGGGGAAUUGCUUGAACCGGGGUGGUGGAGGUUGCAGUGAGCCGAGAUUGUGCCACUGUACUCCAGCCUGGGUGACAGAGCGAGACUCUGUCUCAA